AAUGAGGGACAAACCGUUUUAGAGUGAGGGAGAGAGAGAAUCAGAGAAGAAGAAGAAGGCCGACUAUGGUUUCCGACCGGCCGGGCAUUUUAUUCUGGUUAUGGUGGUUGCGGAGGUGGUUACAGGCGACGGUGACAUUGAGGGUUCCGUCGGGCGCCGUCGGUGGUGGUGAUCGAUGAUGUUUGCAAUUAAUGGUGAUGAUGGCGGUGGUUCCGAGUAAGGGAUGUGGUGGUUGUCGACGGUGACCAGCGUCAGUGGUAGAUGUAGUCGGAGACGGUGAUGAUGGUUAGGGUUUAACAUGUGUCGCUUGCAAGUGUAGUAGAAAAGAACGGCGGCUGCGAUCUGUUUAUGAGUUCCGAUGAUGGUGGUUACAAUGGUGAUACUUUUCGUCGGAGAUGAUUGGAACAGAUGGCGUCAACGUUAAGAUGGUUCGGGUGUGGAAGAUCCGUCAGUGGUGGAUGUAGUCGGAGGUUUAACAUGUGUCGCUUGCAAGUGUAGUAGAAAAGAACGGCGCCUGCGAUCUGUUUAUGAGUUCAGAUGAUAGUGGUUACAACGGUGACACUUUUCGUCGGAGAUGAUUGGAAUAGAUGGCGUCAAUGUUAAGAUGGUUCGGGUGUGGAAAAUCUGGUUUCGACUCUGUCAAUAGGCGCUAUGGUUACUUCUGUCGUUUUCAUCUUAGAUAAGAAGCAGCGAAUUCUUACUGUUUGUACUCAAUUCCACCAAUGUUCAUACGUCGUGAUUGCUUAAUAUGUUUUGAAACUGUAUAAACAUUAACCAUAAAGUGAAUAUCUUGGUAUUAUUUUUUGUGUUAGUUGACUAUAUUGAAAUAAACAGAUGAAUUA
Molecule: long non-coding RNA, 842 nt
Filed under: Helianthus annuus (common sunflower)
Lineage: Eukaryota; Viridiplantae; Streptophyta; Magnoliopsida; Asterales; Asteraceae
Description: hypothetical non coding rna
Source: RNAcentral